GAUGAAGAACGUAGCGAAAUGCGAUACUUGGUGUGAAUUGCAGAAUCCCGUGAACCAUCGAGUCUUUGAACGCAAGUUGCGCCCGAAGCCACUAGGCCGAGGGCACGCCUGCCUGGGCGUCACACGCCGUUGCCCCCCCAUCUACUCCUUCGGGAUUGCGGGGGGGCGGAUGAUGGCCUCCCGUGCGCCUAGCCGCGCGGUUGGCAUAAAUACCAAGUCCUCGGCGACGCACGCCACGACAAUCGGUGGUUGCGAAACCUCGGUUGCCCGUCGUGUGCGUUCGUCGCGCAUCGAGGGCUCGAAAAAAUGCUCGGCUCCGGCUGGGCUUUCAACGCGACCCCAGGUCAGGCGGGGUUACCCGCUGAAUUUAAGCAUAUCAAUAAGCGGAGA
RNAcentral lists this unclassified non-coding RNA (390 nucleotides) under soil metagenome. Its description in RNAcentral is "partial contains 5.8S ribosomal RNA, internal transcribed spacer 2, and large subunit ribosomal RNA". The stretch from base 1 to 122 matches the Rfam family "5.8S ribosomal RNA", at positions 35 to 154 of the family's 154-position model. The record is from RNAcentral.